AACGUAGGACGCGAGCGUUAUCCGGAGUUACUGGGCGUAAAGCGCGCGCAGGCGGUCUGACAAGUCUGAUGUGAAAUCUCCGGGCUUAACCGGGAGAGGCCAUUGGAAACUGACAGGCUGGAGGGCAGUAGAGGUAGGCGGAAUUCCGGGUGGAGUGGUGAAAUGCGUAGAGAUCCGGAGGAACACCAGAGGCGAAGGCGGCCUACUGGGCUGCACCUGACGCUGAGGCGCGAAAGCCAGGGGAGCGAACGGG
This 253-nucleotide ribosomal RNA is filed under the name uncultured bacterium. RNAcentral describes it as "partial 16S ribosomal RNA". It matches the Rfam family "Bacterial small subunit ribosomal RNA", at positions 524 to 776 of the family's 1533-position model. The record is from RNAcentral.